Molecule: ribosomal RNA, 503 nt
Filed under: uncultured bacterium
Lineage: Bacteria
Description: partial 16S ribosomal RNA
Rfam family: Bacterial small subunit ribosomal RNA
Source: RNAcentral
GACGAACGCUGGCGGCGUGCCUAAUACAUGCAAGUAGAACGCACAGUUUAUACCGUAGCUUGCUACACCAUAGACUGUGAGUUGCGAACGGGUGAGUAACGCGUAGGUAACCUGCCUGGUAGCGGGGGAUAACUAUUGGAAACGAUAGCUAAUACCGCAUAAUAUUGAUUAUUGCAUGAUAAUUAAUUGAAAGGUGCAAUUGCACCACUACCAGAUGGACCUGCGUUGUAUUAGCUAGUAGGUGAGGUAACGGCUCACCUAGGCGACGAUACAUAGCCGACCUGAGAGGGUGAUCGGCCACACUGGGACUGAGACACGGCCCAGACUCCGACGGGAGGCAGCAGUAGGGAAUCUUCGGCAAUGGACGAAAGUCUGACCGAGCAACGCCGCGUGAGUGAAGAAGGUUUUCGGAUCGUAAAGCUCUGUUGUAAGAGAAGAACGGGUGUGAGAGUGGAAAGUUCACACUGUGACGGUAUCUUACCAGAAAGGGACGGCUAACUACG